AUCAGGUACGUUUUUUAUCCAGCCGUGUCAAUACUGCCCCCUAGCCCUAACAGGUUAAUCCAUGACGGCGUAAUGUGUUACUAAUGGUUUUCUUUGAGACUGUGGUCCCAGCUCUCUUCAGGUCAUUGACCAGGUCCUGCCGUGUAGUUCUGGGCUGAUCCCUCACCUUCCUCAUGAUCAUUGAUGCCCCACAAGCCCAUCCCAGCCUUGUGCAGGUCUACAAUUGUAUCCCUGAUGUCCUUACACAGCUCUCUGGUCGUGGCCAUUGUGGAGAGGUUGGAGUCUGUUUGAUUGAUUGUGUGGACAGGUGUCUUUAUACAGACUGCAGGGUGGGAGCUGCAACAAUGGCCUUGAGAACAGCAGGAAGUGUGUUGGUGGUCUUUCUCUGGUCUGUAGCAGUGUUACUGGGUCAGUAUGGCUGAAGUGUGAUGUACACCAUCUGUGCCUUGAAGGGGUCAACAGUGGAGCUGUCCUGCUCUUACACAUAUCCCAGAGGUUAUACAGUCACAACAACCUUCUGGUUUACCAAACUUUAUACCGUGACUCUGAGUGAUGACCCAGACUACAAAGGUCGUGUGACGUACCCUAGCGACAUGAAAAAUGGCCACACUCUGACAAUCAGAGACCUGAGAGAGAGUGACUCAGCUACGUACAAGUUCAGAUUUAUAACAGAUCAGACCGUAGGGAAAUAUACUGGUGAUCCUGGAGUCAUUCUGUCUGUCACAGUCACACUUUAUUUGGAUAAUCUGGAUAGAUGCUCUACAGAUGGUCAGGAUAUCAACAAACUACCUGUUGAUAAUGUGUCCAUCCUGACCCUAACUGUGACACACACACCACUGAAAAUGAGGACCAGACAGUCUGGCAGUAAGUAUGUUAUAACGUAUUCAUUUAUGUGUUUAUUUUGUAUACAGUUUUUGUGUUUGUUUGUGUGAGUGGGUAAUUGGGUGAGUGAGAGAGAGACACAGAAAGUAGAGGUGAGAGAGAAUGCUGCAGAGCAGUGUGUAAAGUGCUCAUACUGUGUUUCCUGUGUCGCUGUCUCUGAGUGUGAGGGACUCCAGGGGAGAAAACCACCACAGAACCUGGACUGAAGACAACCACCACAGAACCUGGACUGAUAGAACCACCACAGAACCUGGACUGAAGAGAACCACCACAGAACCUGGACUGAAGAAAACCACCACAGAACCUGGACUGAUAGAACCACCACAGAACCUGGACUGAUAGAACCACCACAGAACCUGGACUGAAGACAACCACCACAGAACCUGGACUGAAGACAACCACCACAGAACCUGGACUGAAGAGAACCACCACAGAACUUGGACUGAUGAGAACCAUCACAGAACCUGGACUGAAGAGAACCACCACAGAACCUGGACUAAAGAGAACCAUCACAGAACAUGGACUGAAGAGAACCACCACAGAACAUGGACUGAAGAGAAUCACCACAGAACCUGGACUAAAGAGAACCACCACAGAACCUGGACUGAAGACAACCACCACAGAACCUGGACUGAAGAGAACCACCACAGAACUUGGACUGAUGAGAACCAUCACAGAACCUGGACUGAAGAGAACCACCACAGAACCUGGACUAAAGAGAACCAUCACAGAACAUGGACUGAAGAGAACCACCACAGAACAUGGACUGAAGAGAAUCACCACAGAACCUGGACUAAAGAGAACCACCACAGAACCUGGACUAAAGAGAACCACCACAGAACAUGGAUGGAAGUGAACCACCACAGAACAUGGGCUAAAGAGAACCAUCACAGAACAUGAACUGAAGAGAACCACCACAGAACAUGGACUGAAGAGCUAUGGCUCCAAAGCAAAGCUAGUCGUUACACCUCUAUUCUCUUGCUAAUAUAUUGUUAUAAUAUCUUGAAGGUUCACCCAAAUUACAAAAUGACACAUUGGUUUCCUUACCCUUUUACCAGUCUAUGAACAUGGUGUGACAGCAGUCCAUGCUUUGGUUAAGUUUCCCCUGGCACUGUUUCAACUUGCUAACGUUUUAGCAUCCGUGGCACAAAUCCCAUUCAAGUAGAGAGGCAUUUCUCGCAAAAAAUGUUGAAAUCAUUCAAAAAUAAAAAAUGCAUUGUGAAGCUCAACAAAGUCACUUAAUAUGUGAAAUAUUAUUAUCGGUCCCAUGACUUGAAUGGGAUUUUUGUUACAAAUGCUAUAAUGUUAUGUAAAUGUCGGAGUGUUCGACAUUGCAGCCAACUUUAUAGGCGAGUCAAGAUCUACAAAUCAUCUUGCAUGAUAAAUAACUACUCAAUGUUAUUAAUAGACCAGUCAGUCACAAUUUACCCAUCAUACAUCACAGUUUUGAUGCUCUUGAACACUGUCUGUGUGACUGUGGAAUGAAGCCCUCUCUGCAUAAAUGUCUUAGUUACUGACAUAGAGUUGGAUAGAGGGUAUAUCUUGGCAUCUUUGUCAAGAUGUCUUCUGUGACAGAAUGAGCAGCGCCAUUGAGGGCUAUUUACAUUUUAAAGUUGUUAAUGCAUUCUUCUUCAACUUCCAUAAGUUUAAUAACAGUCGGUAUACCAAUUGAAAUGGUGUAUUCAAUGGCUUUGCCAUGCUAAAACAGGCUUUUUAGCAAGUGCGCCCUCUAUUCAACUCUAUUGUCCCUGACUGCUUCAAAGUUGUCAACCACACACUUCAAACCUCACACUCAGUGUCUAUUUACAUAGACUUCCAGUAAGUUAACUUACAACACAUCUCCCCUUCACUCUACUGCAGGGUGGGAGAUGCAACAAUGGCCUUGAGAACAGCAGGAAGUGUGUUGGUGGUCAUUCUCUGGUCUGUAGCAGGUGUUCUGGGACAAAAUACUGUGAGGAGUGUCUGUGCCUUAAAGGGGUCAUCAGUGGACAUGCGCUGUCCUGUUCCCAGUGUGACCCAAGUCACAGAGAUAGUCUGGUAUAACAAAUGGUUGAAUCAUGAGCCUUAUGAUCUGAGAUGGGACCCUAAGUAUGAAGGUCGUGUGGAGUACAGUGGAACUACAGAGAAAGACUGCAUCCUGAGAAUCACAGACCUGAGAGAGAGUGACAUAGCAACAUAUUACUUCAGAUAUAAAACAACCCAGUAUUCAGAAUGGAAAUAUUCAUAUGGAUUCACUCUCAGUCUCACAGGUGGAGAGGAUAUAUGACAACACACUGACCUGUAUCACCACCUGUACUCUGACUGACAACCCCACCUACAUCUGGUACAAGAACGGACAACUUCUA
Molecule: long non-coding RNA, 3227 nt
Filed under: Salmo salar (Atlantic salmon)
Lineage: Eukaryota; Metazoa; Chordata; Actinopteri; Salmoniformes; Salmonidae
Description: lncRNA (ENSSSAG00000095465.1)
Source: RNAcentral